UACGUAGGAGGCGAGCGUUGUCCGGAGUUACUGGGCGUAAAGCGCACGCAGGCGGUCAAUCUAGUUCUGGGUGACAGUUCCCGGCUUAACCGGGGAAGUGCCUGGAAAACUGGUUGACUUGAGGACUUCAGAGGGAGACGGUAUUCCGGGUGGAGCGGUGAAAUGCGUAGAGAUCCGGAGGAACACCAAAGGCGAAGGCAGUCUCCUGGGAAGUUCCUGACGCUCAGGUGCGAAAGCCAGGGGAG
RNAcentral lists this ribosomal RNA (245 nucleotides) under uncultured bacterium. RNAcentral's name for it is "partial 16S ribosomal RNA". It matches the Rfam family "Bacterial small subunit ribosomal RNA", at positions 524 to 768 of the family's 1533-position model. The record is from RNAcentral.